Molecule: ribosomal RNA, 253 nt
Filed under: uncultured bacterium
Lineage: Bacteria
Description: partial 16S ribosomal RNA
Rfam family: Bacterial small subunit ribosomal RNA
Source: RNAcentral
UACGGAGGGGGCUAGCGUUGUUCGGAAUUACUGGGCGUAAAGCGCGCGUAGGCGGCUUUGUAAGUUAGAGGUGAAAGCCCAGGGCUUAACCCUGGAAUUGCCUUUAAGACUGCAUCGCUAGAAUCGUGGAGAGGUGAGUGGAAUUCCGAGUGUAGAGGUGAAAUGCGUAGAUAUCGGAAGGAACACCAGUGGCGAAAGCGGCUUCCUGGUCCGACACCGACGUUCAGGCACGAAAGCGUGGGGAGCAAACAGG